RNAcentral lists this long non-coding RNA (841 nucleotides) under Ananas comosus (pineapple). Its description in RNAcentral is "long non-coding RNA (ACOM_LNC001137)". The record is from RNAcentral. Lineage: Eukaryota; Viridiplantae; Streptophyta; Magnoliopsida; Poales; Bromeliaceae.
CCACUCCAAACCGGGUUAGUGGGGUUUACUAACCCCACUCCCCCUCCCAACUUUAACCCCGCACGCAUCCCGAGCCCUCACCUUUUUCUUCUUUAUCAAUCAUUAACCCCACUCCCCUCCUAACUUUAACCCCGCACGCAUCCCGAGCCCUCACCUUUUUCUUCUUUAUCAAUCAUUAUCUUCUUAUCCCACCUACUCCAACCAAACACUUUUUUUCACUAUCCUAGACUAACUCCAACCUCCAAUCAAACACAAAAAAAUUUUAACACCAUUUUAACCCUGAACUUAACCCUAUCCCUGGAAUAACUACUUUUUCUUAACCCCGAACCAAACGGUGGCCUAGAGUUAAAAUCUGUUAAUUAACUCUGUUAUCUUUAUAAAAUUACUAUUUUGCCCUUUCAAAUAUACCCUUCCAUCAUCAUUGACUUUCUUAUUUGCCCUUAAAGUCAGAGACACAAAAAGUAUUUUGACUUUUGGUCUUUUCCAAUAUAUCCCUCUAUCAUCACCAACAUUUCUUAUUUGCCCUUAAGUUAAGGGCAAAAUUUGUAUUUUAUUUUUUUUAACUGUGAUAGAUAUUUAACUUACGUUUAACCCAAGUUAACUUAACGGGAGAUAACUGCAGGGGUAUUUUGCAAUAACGGUGGAACAUAUGAGGGGUAUUUUAGAAAGAAAAAAAAGUAGGGAUAAAUCGGAUAUUUUCAAACGUAUGAGGGGUAUAUAGGCAAUUAUCCCUAUUUAAAAAUAGCCGUUUACAUAAUAAUAUAUGCUAGUUUUUAUAUUUAUAUGUAUACAAUUUUUUUAAAAAAGUAUAAAAAUUUUUAUUUUUAUUUUUUUAGAAAGG